GAUGAACGCUGGCGGCGUGCUUAACACAUGCAAGUCGAACGUGAGAGAGUAGCAAUAUUCUUGAAAGUGGCGCACGGGUGAGUAAUACGUAGGUAACCUGCCCUGGAGUGGGGGAUAACAACUGGAAACGGUUGCUAACACCGCAUAAUACCGGAUGUCUGGGAAGACGACUGGUAAAAACUCUGGUGCUUCAGGAGGGGCCUGCGGCCGAUUAGCUAGUUGGCGGGGUAAGAGCCCCACCAAGGCAUUGAUCGGUAGCUGGUCUGAGAGGACGAUCAGCCACACGGGAACUGAGACACGGUCUCGACUCCUACGGGGGGGCAGCAGUGAGGAAUAUUGGGCAAUGGGCGAAGCCUGACCCAGCAACGCCGCGUGGAGGAAGACGG
This 386-nucleotide ribosomal RNA is filed under the name uncultured bacterium. RNAcentral's name for it is "bacterial SSU rRNA". It matches the Rfam family "Bacterial small subunit ribosomal RNA", at positions 28 to 414 of the family's 1533-position model. The record is from RNAcentral.